AGCGAACGCUGGCGGCAGGCCUAACACAUGCAAGUCGAACGGAUCCUUCGGGAUUAGUGGCGGACGGGUGAGUAACACGUGGGAACGUGCCCUUUGGUUCGGAACAACUCAGGGAACCUUGAGCUAAUACCGGAUGUGCCCUUCGGGGGAAAGAUUUAUCGCCAUUGGAGCGGCCCGCGUCUGAUUAGCUAGUUGGUGAGGUAAAGGCUCACCAAGGCGACGAUCAGUAGCUGGUCUGAGAGGAUGAUCAGCCACAUUGGGACUGAGACACGGCCCAAACUCCUACGGGAGGCAGCAGUGGGGAAUCUUGCGCAAUGGGCGAAAGCCUGACGCAGCCAUGCCGCGUGAAUGAUGAAGGUCUUAGGAUUGUAAAAUUCUUUCACCGGGGACGAUAAUGACGGUACCCGGAGAAGAAGCCCCGGCUAACUUCGUGCCAGCCGCCGCGGUAA
This 449-nucleotide ribosomal RNA is filed under the name uncultured bacterium. Its description in RNAcentral is "partial 16S ribosomal RNA". It matches the Rfam family "Bacterial small subunit ribosomal RNA", at positions 29 to 523 of the family's 1533-position model. The record is from RNAcentral.